GGGCCAAGUGAGUUUUUCUCAUCACCCGGCGUCCGUCGUCGUCCGUCGUCCGUCGUCCUGCGUCCGUCGUCGUUAACUUUUACAAAAAUCUUCUCCUCUGAAACUGCUGGGCCAAAUUUAACCAAACAUGGCCAAAAUCAUUAUUAGGGUAUCUAGUUUAAAAAUUGUGUCCGAUGACCCGCCCAACCAACCAAGAUGGCCGCCAUGGCUAAACAUAGAACAUAGGGGUAAAAUGCAGUUUUUGGCUUAUAACUCAAAAACCAAAGCAUUUAGAGCAAAUCUGACAUGGGGUGAAAUUGUUAAUCAGGUCAAGAUCUAUCUGCCCUGAAAUUUCAGAUGAAUCGGAC
RNAcentral lists this long non-coding RNA (347 nucleotides) under Mytilus galloprovincialis (Mediterranean mussel). The record is from RNAcentral. Lineage: Eukaryota; Metazoa; Mollusca; Bivalvia; Mytilida; Mytilidae.